RNAcentral lists this ribosomal RNA (484 nucleotides) under uncultured bacterium. RNAcentral describes it as "partial 16S ribosomal RNA". It matches the Rfam family "Bacterial small subunit ribosomal RNA", at positions 30 to 507 of the family's 1533-position model. The record is from RNAcentral.
AUUGAACGCUGGCGGCAGGCCUAACACAUGCAAGUCGAGCGGUUGAAGGGAGCUUGCUCCUGGAUUCCGCGGCGGACGGGUAAGUAAUGCCUAGGAAUGGGCCUGGGCGUGGGGGAUAACGUCCGGAAACGGGCGCUAAUACCGCAUACGCCUUGAGUGGGAAAGCGGGGGAGCUUCGGACCUCACGCUCUCAGAUGAGCCUAGGUCGGAUUAGCUAGUUGGUGGGGUAAAGGCCUACCAAGGCGACGAUCCGUAACUGGUCUGAGAGGAUGAUCAGUCACACUGGAACUGAGACACGGUCCAGACUCCUACGGGAGGCAGCAGUGGGGAAUAUUGGACAAUGGGCGAAAGCCUGAUCCAGCCAUGCCGCGUGUGUGAAGAAGGUCUUCGGAUUGUAAAGCACUUUAAGUUGGGAGGAAGGGCAGUAAGUUAAUACCUUGCUGUUUUGACGUUACCAACAGAAUAAGCACCGGCUAACUUCGUG